Long non-coding RNA from Salvia miltiorrhiza (redroot sage), 1247 nucleotides. RefSeq lists it as uncharacterized. The transcript has 2 exons. Lineage: Eukaryota; Viridiplantae; Streptophyta; Magnoliopsida; Lamiales; Lamiaceae. The record is from RefSeq and is a predicted model, not a curated record.
AAGAGAAAAUUUUCAUAAUAAUAUCAUAUUAUUAUUAUGUGCAUAUUUUAAGUAAAUUACUUAUUAUAUGCUAAGCAUGACAUGAAAUUGCAUUAUAUUUUGUAAAAAAAAUAUUUAUGAUUUAAUUGGUUUUAUUUAUAAUUCCAAUUAUUAAAGAAAGAUGAGUAAGAAUAUUGUUGGUGUUCUUAACUCAAGAGAAAUGUUUUCAAUUAUUUAUUUAUUAAAUUUUGAAAACCCGGCUAAGUGAAUCAUAGAAUAUUAAGCACUACACCAUGACUUAAGAUUAGAUUCAUGAGACCUAUUAAGAAUAGAAUUUCUUGUAGGCUUUGUGACCAGGGGGAUUAGCGCUGCUUUCCCAAGACAGGUUUAUAUGUGAUUAUGAUCUUCAGGCUUUGCCUAACCAGGUGGGCUUACUUUCCAAAUGUACAAAGUAUGAUUGAGUUAUUAAGCUCUAAAUGUUUCAAUGAAAUGCAAAUUGUUUAUUUAAUGUAAUGAAAACUGUUUAUCCAAUAAAAUGUUUAUGUGCACUCUGCUCUGUUUAAGGCUCGCACAGUUAAUCAAUUGAGGUUCUCUUAUGACCUAAUACGUUGUUUGAGGAUUGUGUACACUUGUUAGUUGACUCGGUGGGUUGAUCUCCAUCGGGCUCUAACCAGAGGCGUUAUAAGGGUGCUCGGCUGGAUGUGUUCCGGAGCAUGAGAAAUAUCAGGCCUGCCUGGGUAGCGUCCCGAGGUCAAAGUAAACUUGUCUGGGUUACGCCCUCAGUUCAAGUAAGCAGGAGACAGAGAUCCGUCGGUGGCUAAAAGGUCCGGGAUCACAGCGAGUAACAGAAAGGGAGUGUGACAUGUGCGCACAAAUGAAAGAAAAUGUUUUAACAUGCUUAGAAGUACUUCUUUCAUUUUAAAACCUUCUAAGUUAUGUCAGGUUGGCUGGCCGGUGCUGACGGGACGGAGCUGAGGCUAGCGAUAAAUUCCUAUGUUAGACUUCCGCUGUAGCAAUUACUCAUAUCAGUCUUUUUGUUUUCCCAACUUAAGAUCUUCAUGUUAAAUUUCAAAUAAUAUAUUUGACCGAGCUUAGACUUUUCACUACUAAAUUUAUGCCAAUGAAUGUCGGUUGUCAGGAGCAUGAAACAAAACUUGUGAUCCAAAGGGGCAUAGCCCGACUUUCUAUCCUAUUUCGGGUUUUUACAAGGUUGUUCCUUGUUUAUUUCUAUGAAUUAGUUGCACCUCCAUUAUAUUUAUUCAUUCAAG